GAGCGGUGAAAUGCGUAGAUAUCUAGAGGAACGCCAGAGGCGAAGGCGGAUGGCUGGGCCGUUGUUGACGCUCAGGGACGAAAGCAUGGGUAGCGAACGGGAUUAGAUACCCCGGUAGUCCAUGCCCUAAACGAUGUGCACUAGGUCGCGGAAGGUUUGACCCUCUCGCGGCUGAAGUUAAAAUAUUAAGUGCACCGCCUGGGGAGUA
RNAcentral lists this ribosomal RNA (208 nucleotides) under Trieres chinensis. RNAcentral's name for it is "partial Bacterial small subunit ribosomal RNA". It matches the Rfam family "Bacterial small subunit ribosomal RNA", at positions 676 to 882 of the family's 1533-position model. Lineage: Eukaryota; Bacillariophyta; Thalassiosirophyceae; Eupodiscales; Parodontellaceae. The record is from RNAcentral.